UAGGGUAAAUCCAUCGUGAGGUGGAGACACAAAGCCACGGAUCAGGUAUUAACUUGACAGCCGGGUUACAG
This 71-nucleotide non-coding RNA is filed under the name marine eukaryotic metagenome. RNAcentral describes it as "Cyclic di-GMP-I riboswitch". It matches the Rfam family "c-di-GMP-I riboswitch aptamer", at positions 9 to 85 of the family's 87-position model. Rfam says of the family: GEMM was predicted in a large-scale screen for bacterial structured RNA regulatory elements. The record is from RNAcentral.